RNAcentral lists this ribosomal RNA (450 nucleotides) under uncultured Glomeromycotina. RNAcentral's name for it is "SSU rRNA". It matches the Rfam family "Eukaryotic small subunit ribosomal RNA", at positions 569 to 1024 of the family's 1831-position model. Lineage: Eukaryota; Fungi; Glomeromycota. The record is from RNAcentral.
AGCAGCCGCGGUAAUUCCAGCUCCAAUAGCGUAUAUUAAAGUUGUUGCAGUUAAAAAGCUCGUAGUUGAAUUUCGGGAUCAGUAGGUUGGUCAUGCCUCUGGUAUGUACUGGCCUCACUGGUUCCUCCUUCCUGAUGAACCGUAAUGCCAUUAAUUUGGUGUUGCGGGGAAACUGGACUGUUACUUUGAAAAAUUAGAGUGUUUAAAGCAGGCUAACGCUUGAAUACAUUAGCAUGGAAUAAUGAAAUAGGACGAUCGAUCCUAUUUUGUUGGUUUCUAGGAUUGACGUAAUGAUUAAUAGGGAUAGUUGGGGGCAUUAGUAUUCAAUUGUCAGAGGUGAAAUUCUUGGAUUUAUUGAAGACUAACUACUGCGAAAGCAUUUGCCAAGGAUGUUUUCAUUAAUCAAGAACGAAAGUUAGGGGAUCGAAGACGAUCAGAUACCGUCGUAGU